UUAUCCGGAUUUACUGGGUGUAAAGGGAGCGUAGACGGAAUGGCAAGUCUGAUGUGAAAGGCCGGGGCUCAACCCCGGGACUGCAUUGGAAACUGUCAAUCUAGAGUACCGGAGGGGUAAGUGGAAUUCCUAGUGUAGCGGUGAAAUGCGUAGAUAUUAGGAGGAACACCAGUGGCGAAGGCGGCUUACUGGACGGUAACUGACGUUGAGGCUCGAAAGCGUGGGGAGCAAACAGGAUUAGAUACCCUGCUAGUCCACGCCGUAAACGAUGAAUACUAGGUGUUGGGGAGUAAAGCUCUUCGGUGCCGCAGCAAACGCAAUAAGUAUUCCACCUGGGGAGUACGU
Molecule: ribosomal RNA, 345 nt
Filed under: uncultured bacterium
Lineage: Bacteria
Description: bacterial SSU rRNA
Rfam family: Bacterial small subunit ribosomal RNA
Source: RNAcentral